RNAcentral lists this ribosomal RNA (497 nucleotides) under uncultured bacterium. RNAcentral describes it as "partial 16S ribosomal RNA". It matches the Rfam family "Bacterial small subunit ribosomal RNA", at positions 28 to 507 of the family's 1533-position model. The record is from RNAcentral.
GAUGAACGCUGGCGGCGUGCCUAAUACAUGCAAGUCGAGCGAACAGACGCGGAGCUUGCUCCUCUGACGUUAGCGGCGGACGGGUGAGUAACACGUGUAUAACCUACCUAUCAGACUGGUAUAACUUCGGGAAACCGGCGCUAAUACCGGAUAAUAUAUUGAACCGCAUGGUUCAUUAGUGAAAGACGGUUUUGCUGUAACGUAUAGCUGGAUCCGCGCCGCAUUAGCUAGUUGGUAAGGUAACGGCUUACCAGGGCAACGAUGCGUAGACGACCGGAGAGGGGGAUCGGCCACACUGGAACGGAGACACGGUCCAGACUACUACGGGAGGCAGCAGAAGGGAAUCUGCCGCAGUGGGCGAAUGCCUGACGGAGCAACGCCGCGUGAGUGAUGAAGGUCUUGGGAUCGGAAAACCCUGUUAUGAGGGAAGAACAAAUGUGUAAGUAACUAAGCACGUCUUGACGGUAACUAAUCAGAAAGCCACGGCUAACUACGUG